This 1033-nucleotide long non-coding RNA is filed under the name Dasypus novemcinctus (nine-banded armadillo). RNAcentral describes it as "lncRNA (ENSDNOG00000049946.1)". The record is from RNAcentral. Lineage: Eukaryota; Metazoa; Chordata; Mammalia; Cingulata; Dasypodidae.
CUCCUCAGGGACUUGGUUGUCUGCUCAGAGCUCUAUUAAUGCAGUUUCCCUGGAGAUGGAGCCAUAGUGCAUCAGACAAGUGAGCAAGAUGAUGUCACAUUCCCAACUGCUUGUACUCUGGGCCUCAGGCGCCAGUGGGGACAUCGUGAUGACCCAGUCUCCAGGCUCUGUGGCUGCAUCUGCAGGAGAGACCGUCACCCUCAAGUGCAAGGCCAGUCAGAGUGUUAGCAGCUACUUAGCCUGAUACCAGCAGAAACCAGGACAGACUCCUAAACUGCUCUUCUAUGCUGCAUCCAACUGGCCAUCUGGGGUCCCUGAUCAAUUCAGUGUCAGUGAGUCUGGGACAGAUUUCACUCUCACCAUCAGCAGAUUCCAGCCUGAAGAUGUGAGAAAUUAUUACUGUCAGCAACGUCAGAGCUCUUCUCCCACAGUGCUUCAACCUCAAGCACAAACCUCCUCCCCAGGGCUGUAGGGCAGUGAGUCUUGCAACACCAGCUGCUUCCUGUUCAAAUAGACUUGAAUAAGUUUGCUUCUUCCAUCAGUCUGAGAAACUACAUCCUUUAGGGUCUGUACCAUAGAAAUCUUUUUUUUACUUGGCUAGAUCUAAUUACAGGGUGACUGGACCCUCUAGGCUAGGGUCUUUUAAACUUUAUACCCUGAUGGAUUGAUUCUCUAUUCAUUGUACCUCCUUUAUGUUUAAACAUCAUCUUCUUUCCUUGUCUCUUCCAUCUUCUUCCUUCUCCUCCGUCAUCUUCCAACUCUGGUGCUUCCCAAGAUUAAAUCCUUGAUCCUUCAUAUUCAAAACUUCCUCUAUGGAAGGUCAUUUUCCUCCCUUACUCUUUCUUCCCUGGACACUUUGCAUUCCAAGCCUUUCUUUUCAGUGUCACAAAAGAUGAUUUGAUAUCCUACUCUACCUUCCUUUUUUCUUUAGAUAACUAUUUUCAUUUCUUAUUGCCAUCAAUUAGUAAUUGUGGAUGCCUUAAUAUACUAUACUCAGUGAAGAAUGCUUAGGUUAAGGGAUGAUGCUCAGCCA